CUCCCAUGUCCUCUCAGCAACCCAGGCUGGAGCCUACUCCUUGGUGUUGGCAAAGGAAACCGUCUUUGAAGCCAGAGGGAGCCCUGAAUUCAUGCAGAGGAGUUUUUCUACCUUCCAUCUGCUUCUGCAUAUCAUCUUGUCUACUUAAUGCCCCUCCUUCCGGAUUUAUAGAACAGUAUGCAUAAUAUGACCCCAACUGCAUUCCAAAAAAUAGAUGUAGAUGUAAG
RNAcentral lists this long non-coding RNA (227 nucleotides) under Homo sapiens (human). RNAcentral describes it as "non-protein coding lnc-RIPOR1-1:12". The record is from RNAcentral. Lineage: Eukaryota; Metazoa; Chordata; Mammalia; Primates; Hominidae.